GGGUGGCGCAUUGUUCAGUGAGACAGAAUAGCGAGGUCAUAGGUCCUCCUCUCCAAUAUGGCAGAAGCGAGGCAAAGAGAAACUUCACCAGUCGUCUCUGUCUCAUCAUUUCCCUGUUUUGCAGGUUUGUAACCGGUAAAACUAUAUUAAAACGGUUGUAAAAUAUUGAUAAGAAACACAGCUAAAUGUGAGGGUAUAAAUCAGCGGGUAAACCCUGUUAUUUGUUACGUUUUAUGAAGUAGAAGGACUGAAAAAAAUGCCAAAGCCUAGCCAGCCGCGGGCGCCAUUUUGGUUUCCUUUCUCCACUUAUUUCAGGUCGUUUUAGCUGAAUAAGCUCCUUGUCGUGUCCUGAUUUUGUGAAUAUGAAUGUUAAUCUGCUGUUGGCAGUGAAGAACGACUGUUUACUGGUUCUGAAAAGUGAUUUUGAGAAUGUUAAAGCUAAAGCUAAGCCUGCCAGCAUACACAUGACUCUUUCAUGUAUUUGUGAGCUACUAAGCUAAAUUGGUUUAAGACCAAGCACUGGUAUGUUGGUUAAAACAAUCAGAAUACAUAGGUAUUUGGGUUAAGAGUUAAAUAGAGGUAAAAAUGUAUUUGAACAUGCAUUUCAUAUUGUUUUGAAUUGUCAUUCAGAGAGAAUAGCCGAGUAAAUGAUUUGAAGGUCACUACACGUGAAGUACUCUUGUUUCCCAUGAAAAGAUCGUGGUAUUGCAGCUUGAACAUACAGACGGUUUUAUUGUUAUUUCUGUUGUAUAUAGAGAAUGGUGAUGCUGCAAGUUAAAAAUACAUGUGAUUGUAUAAAUAAAUAUGGCAGAAGCGAGGCAAAGAGAAACUUCACCAGUCGUCUCUGUCUCAUCAUUUCCCUGUUUUGCAGGAACAUUUAAUCUGUUUUACCGGCCCAUACUCUGGGUCGGUUACACAGGCUUACUUGUUGUUCCUCAAGUAUUUAAAAGUGUCAUGGUCCGCGGCCCGGCGUCCGGGGUGCUGCUGGGAUGUCCACGCCCACGAGCGUGGCUGCUAACCCCACACCUGCAUCCCAUCCCAGGCGAUCAUCAGGUGGACUAUUUAAUCCUGCCCUACCUGCUGCUCCACGCCAGUCCGUAGUCGCCUCUCAGCGAUCACAACUCGGCGUGUUUUUGUUUACGAGCCACUUGCCUGUCCACCUGUCCGCCUGAGAUUCGGUUCACCAUCAGCUCCGCCGUCUCGACCCCUUUUGGAGCUCCACCCCCCCCCUCUGGUUCACUCGGCCCGGCUAUCACCCCUCUCACAGCUCCGCUCUCGGCGUUCCCUGCGCGGUCCCUCGGUUUCUUCUGGUUCCAUACGUUGAUUUUCAGGCUACCCUCACGGGACACCUUUAGUUGCAAUAAAAAUUACUUCCUUUAUUCGCUCCUACCCUAGUGUGUGUGUUCUGCUACUGGGUCCUGCCUGCGCUCGGAACUUCGGUU
Molecule: long non-coding RNA, 1442 nt
Organism: Haplochromis burtoni (Burton's mouthbrooder)
Lineage: Eukaryota; Metazoa; Chordata; Actinopteri; Cichliformes; Cichlidae
Exons: 3
Source: RefSeq, a predicted model, not a curated record